This 610-nucleotide ribosomal RNA is filed under the name uncultured bacterium. RNAcentral's name for it is "bacterial SSU rRNA". It matches the Rfam family "Bacterial small subunit ribosomal RNA", at positions 331 to 940 of the family's 1533-position model. The record is from RNAcentral.
CCAGACUCCUACGGGAGGCAGCAGUGAGGAAUAUUGGUCAAUGGGCGAGAGCCUGAACCAGCCAAGUCGCGUGAAGGACGACGGUUCUAUGGAUUGUAAACUUCUUUUGUAGAGGAAUAAUGGCAGCUACGCGUAGCUGAGAUGCAUGUACUCUACGAAUAAGUAUCGGCUAACUCCGUGCCAGCAGCCGCGGUAAUACGGAGGAUACGAGCGUUAUCCGGAAUUAUUGGGUUUAAAGGGUGCGUAGGUGGCGUAUUAAGUCAGUGGUGAAAAGCUGCAGCUCAACUGUAGUCUUGCCGUUGAAACUGAUAUGCUAGAGAGGAGACGAGGUAUGCGGAAUGUGUGGUGUAGCGGUGAAAUGCAUAGAUAUCACACAGAACGCCGAUUGCGAAGGCAGCGUACCAGGCUCCGUCUGACACUGAAGCACGAAAGCGUGGGGAUCAAACAGGAUUAGAUACCCUGGUAGUCCACGCAGUAAACGAUGAAUACUAGAUUUUUGCGAUAUAGUGUAAGAGUCUAAGCGAAAGCGAUAAGUAUUCCACCUGGGGAGUACGCCGGCAACGGUGAAACUCAAAGGAAUUGACGGGGGCCCGCACAAGAAGGGCGAAUU